Molecule: long non-coding RNA, 2503 nt
Organism: Vollenhovia emeryi
Lineage: Eukaryota; Metazoa; Arthropoda; Insecta; Hymenoptera; Formicidae
Exons: 3
Source: RefSeq, a predicted model, not a curated record
CUAAGUGGCGAGGAAAUCGGUGAGGUGUGACCUAUUCUGCAUAUUUACCCGUAAUGCUAUCGGCAUGGAAAAAAACUUUGUAAAACGUUUGUAUAUUAUUAAAAUAUUACAACAUGAGCGUUCAUCAUUUUUCCAAACUUGUAAAGAAAAGAUAGCUACAGUAUUACGGGAUAGAAAAACGGAAAAAUAGUGAAAACAAACACAAAAAUUGACAUAUCUUUGUUAUGUGUCUAACGUUGGUUAAAAUAACUGUACAUUUUUCUAUGUUUUAAUAGUUUGUAGUAAAUCCAUGUUUCGUGAAAAUUGUGCAGACAGUCAAAAGUGAAAAACAUGGUACGAUAUUAACACUUUCAUACUACACACAUAAACCACGUUAAAUAUCGAUUAUUAUCAAGAAUGAUUAGAGAAACGUACUGUUUAGUGAUUAUUAAAGAAAUAACAAGCUAUUAACUUUUCCGUAUAGGCCAUAAUACCCUGGUUUACUCUAAACAAUCGAAAGUAAAAUUCCUAACUGUUUAAUUCUCACGUGUUACUCUACUUAAGUGCCCUGGCUAAACUUCGGAUAAACUUUGCAUUCAAGAAACUUGUCGCUAUUGAAUUUUGUGGCGAAAGACCAGCGUUAAAAUCUGUCGUUGAAUCCAAGAUUUGAAAUGGACUACAUCAACGUAGAUAUCGUAUAACCGUGGAUCGCAGAGCAAAGUGGUAUUUCCACUAGCUAAACCUCCCGAAUAAAGACCGCGUAACUCAUAACGGCCUGUGUGGUUGUUCAGCAGCACCAGUGCGUUCCCCGAGUCACCGUCACAAAGACCGUUUUUUUCGUCUAACGAAUUGGCGCAAAAGGUACGAUUCGAGGUGUAAGAAAUAUAUCUAUUAUCACUCCGGAGGCAAGUUUCCUGCAAUUUGCACAAAAAAAUUUAAUUAAGGCUUGCAAUGACUCCGAUUCAUAUAACAACUACCUAUAAUUGCUUACUUGACCCGCUAUCGUCACCUUUAUCAUCCGCUGUUCUUGGAAAUCACGAUGACCCAACGGGUCUUGGCCCCUUCCUACAACAUACCCCGUCUUACCGACGACAUCUUCAAGAGUGGUCGAACUACCCAAAUAGCACAGGACGUCCUCAGGAUCAUCCUGAAUAUGUCCCGGGAUGUCCUGGGAUCUUUUCAGGACAUAGUUGUAUUACUGUAAAUAUUUUAUAUAAAUAUUUUAUGUAUAAAACUUACUUCAGAAAUAAUUCUAGAAUGUUAAAUACUGUUGUAAAUAAAAAUCUUCCAUAAGUGUCCACAUAGCAUAUAAGAAGUUUCCUUGGGACAUCCUACGAAAGUCCUCAGGACAUCCUACGAAAGUCUCCUCAGGAUAUCCUACGAGAGUCCUCAGGAUAUCCUACGAGAGUCCUCAGGAUAUCCUACGAGAGUCCUCAGGAUAUCCUACGAGAGUCCUCAGGAUAUCCUACGAGAGUCCUCAGGAUAUCCUGAACAUAUAUUAUUUUAACGGUGACACGUACUAUACCUCAUAUCAUUACAGAUACAAAUCAUGUUUCCAUAUGGUAAUUAUAGGGAGUUCUUUUUCAAAUGGUUAUUUCCAUUAUUUUAAUUUUUGAAAAAUAAUAGCCGGUAAAUUAACAGAACAAGUGAGCCAUUUUUUAAUACUGUGUUUCAUGCAUGACUAAAAUUUUACAUUUAAAAUUACACUGGGCUUGAGAGUGCGUUCCGGCAAGACACUGCUGUAGUGCUACGCAAGUUACGCUCCAUGUGAAUCCAGCCUUAUACUUACAUCAUGGCCAGAACCGUCGGAACGCAGUCCCAACUGUCCGGCUGUCCCGAUCUUUUCCGGUCUGGCUCUAACCUUCUUUACCUGUGCGCCUCGAGGAAAACGCUUGAGGUUACAAUUGUGUUGCAGUAUCUUUGAGACUUAAUAAUCAAUGCUCUUAAAAUUGAGCAAAGUUUUUCUGAAAAAAACUUAUCUUGCAUUGAAUUAGAUAGUGCAGAAGGCUGUGUUUUAAUGUUUGAGAAUAUAUCUCGUGUCUGGCAAUAUCACCAAUCGCAUCUUGAAAUUUUUCUAAGUCUAUAUACAAGUAUGUAUAUUCCGUUCUCAAUCAAAUUACAUAUUUUUCUUGUAAAAUAAUAAAUAUUCUUUUAUUAUCUCACUCGCUCAAUCUUGAUUGGUCUGUUCUUUUUUGCUGCACUGUUAUAUUAGUACAAUAAGUUAAAAUUAGAAAUAAUGUAUUUGUGUUUCAUUCUUACUUUCUAGUAUUAAUUUUUUAUUUCCAGUUGUUAAUUUGUAACUUUUAAUACAAUAUACUAAACUGUUUUCAGGAAGACAAAUUUACCAUGUCGCAUAAACAUUCGUAUAAACGCGUACUUAGUUUUUCACAACGAAGAAAGAUGGUAAAAAUGGAAACAGAUAUUAUAAUGGAAUCUCAUAAAACUAUGGAAUCAACAUUUGUUUCAACAUCAUUUUCUGAAAAUACAUUACAAAAUCGAAAUAUGCAUGAUGACGAUAUAAUCC